GCUUACGGCCAUACACCCUGAACACGCCCGAUCUCGUCCGAUCUCGGAAGCUAAGCAGGGUCGGGCCUGGUUAGUACUUGGAUGGGAGACCGCCUGGGAAUACCAGGUGCUGUAAGCU
Molecule: ribosomal RNA, 118 nt
Organism: Labrus bergylta (ballan wrasse)
Lineage: Eukaryota; Metazoa; Chordata; Actinopteri; Labriformes; Labridae
Source: Ensembl